CCCGCCCGCUUUCCCUGGAACGGUGGCCGCAGGUGGGAAGCAGGCAGGGUCACAGCUGCCGCUGGCGGUCCUGACAUUUUCGACUCCGCAUCUGGGUCUCUCUUACAGCCCCAUUUUCACUGUGAAGGUUUAGGAUGUUGGUCUUACCGUCCUGCCUCUUCCCAGGGGCUACAGAGAAGAAGGUUUGGGGGUCAAAGAGAGACGAAGUGGGUGGCAUGUUUCUAGGGGACAAGAGCUGAUGUCCCCUAGAUUUUUGUGCGCAGAAUCACUUUCCGGUUCUUGACCAGAACGCAUUUUGAAAUGUCUCCGACCACCCUGAAAGGCCUCUCGUUUCAGAGCCAGCUAUGGAUAAGGGCUGAGUGAGGGCUGCGGUGUGGUCCCUGGCUACACGUUGGGAAGUUGUGUAAUUUGAACCUCAGUUUUCUCAUCUGCAAAACAGGCGUGAUCGUGUCUACUUGCUUGGCUCAUUGGGAGGAUUAAAAGGAAGCCCUGCAAGUAAAUUGCCUCCUUUUGCUCCCAAUGGACAGGAAAUUCUCAGGAAAUACGCUCAUUUGAAUUUUAAAUUUCUGGCACUGGUGUCAUUGUUCCUUGUCUGGAUUAAGGUUUAGCUUUUGAUAACCUUUUUCUUGGUACUGAUAUGUUAGAGGGAGAAAUUCCUCAAUAGGUAGCUGAAAUGAUCCCUAAAAUUGUUUGUAUGAAGAGCUAGAUUUUUUCGUUACUGAGAUAUAAUCUGUGUACCAUGAAAUACACAGAUAAUACGUUGACAUUUGUCAACACCUGGAAACACCACCUCGGUCAAAAUACAGAGCAUUUCCACCACCCUGGUCCCCGAGUGCCCCUUUCCAGUCAAUCCCUCCUGAACCAGAGGGCACUGCUUUUCUGAUGUCUAGCUCAUAGAUUGGUUUUGCUUCAGGAAAUCUAUUUUUGAUGUGCGACUUUACAAAAGGAGGCUUAACACUUUCAGAAUGGCCUGUCUGGGCACUGUCACUGCCUCUGAGUCCCUUUCCGAGCUCAGACAAUCCCAGCCCUCCCUGUUAAAGCCUCUUUCUAAAUAUCCGUGGAUCUUAAGGACCUCUGAAGUUGGAUGGUUGGAAUUUAUUUCUGGAUGACAUUUGCAUCUCUGAGCAAAAGCAUUUUCUAGCCUAAGGGAUGGCAGGUCCUUUGGGUUUAAUGGGAACUGUGUGUUGGGGGGGGCGGGGCAGGGGGAGUAGAUGGGAUAACUUAGGAGGCGGUAUUUAUUUGCAGCAGGGAGGUCACGGCUCCUGUCUUUGUAUGAGUGCACACUUGCCAUUAACAUCAGGGGGAUUUCGCUAGGCCCACGCAGCAGCAAGGGAUAGGAACGGGAACAUUUGCAAAAACAAACAGCAAACACCUGGGUUCUGGCCCGGAACAACGACCCGGCAGCGUGGGAGGGGCGCCCAUUCUGCAGACUGGGUCUGUGCCCUGCCACCACAGGCUUCCUCUUACCUCCGGCUCUGGAGCUCUCAUUCUGGAAUGUCCCAGUCUUGCUCUGGCUGCAUCUGGAUUGGAAACAGGAGCAAUCCUUUGAUUGGAAAGACAAACGAGCCCUUGGAGAAGUCCCACAAAGCAGCGCAUCUCUGGCUAGAUUAACCUAAGAGAUUUAAAGUCCUUUGAAUGGAAGUUCAUCUGUUUCACAGGAUAAACAAUAUAAAAAUGAAAUCCCCAAAGAAUCACGGCUGCUAACCUUCAGGGCGAUGGUGCUUUCUGUAUUAAAAAAAAAAAAAAAAAAAAAAAA
Long non-coding RNA from Acinonyx jubatus (cheetah), 1756 nucleotides. RefSeq lists it as uncharacterized. The record is from RefSeq and is a predicted model, not a curated record. NCBI's taxonomy places the organism in Eukaryota, Metazoa, Chordata, Mammalia, Carnivora, Felidae. The transcript is spliced from 2 exons.